CAUGUGGGGCAAGCGUUGUUCGGAAUUACUGGGCAUAAAGGGUGCGUAGGUGGUCUGUUAAGUCAGUGGUGAAAUCCCGCGGCCCAACCGUGGAACUGCCAUCGAUACUGGCGGACUUGAGUGCGUGAGGGGUUACCGGAACGAGCAGUGUAGCGGUGAAAUGCGUAGAUAUUGCUCGGAAGGCCAGAGGCGAAGGCGGGUAACUGGCACGCAACUGACACUGAGGCACGAAAGCGUGGGGAGCAAACAGGAUUAGAUACCCUGGUAGUCCACGCCCUAAACGAUGUCAACUGGUUGUUGGGUCUUCACUGACUCAGUAACGAAGCUAACGCGUGAAGUUGACCGCCUGGGGAGUACGGCCGCAAGGUUG
Molecule: ribosomal RNA, 370 nt
Filed under: uncultured organism
Description: bacterial SSU rRNA
Rfam family: Bacterial small subunit ribosomal RNA
Source: RNAcentral